Molecule: long non-coding RNA, 205 nt
Filed under: Elaeis guineensis (African oil palm)
Lineage: Eukaryota; Viridiplantae; Streptophyta; Magnoliopsida; Arecales; Arecaceae
Description: long non-coding RNA (EGUI_LNC043721)
Source: RNAcentral
GGGUGCAAAAGAGGGUAUAUUUAAUUGGGUGCAAGAGCUCUGAGAGUCGGUGCCUAAUAAGAUUCUUAAUGUAAGUUAAACAACUUAAGUUAUUUAGAAACCCAAUGCAAGUAGAACUUGUAUUAUGAGAUUGAAUAGGAUUCAAUCCUCAUGUCUAUUCAAAGGGACCUCCCCUAAGACCCCUAGAGCAUCCAACUAGCAGCCC